This 1553-nucleotide long non-coding RNA is filed under the name Varroa destructor (honeybee mite). RNAcentral's name for it is "uncharacterized LOC111254146". The record is from RNAcentral. Lineage: Eukaryota; Metazoa; Arthropoda; Arachnida; Mesostigmata; Varroidae.
CUAGAUGAUACACGAACGUGCCCCGCCUUCGUUAGUCGUGCGAAUGGCUAUCUGAUAACUGCGGCAGGUUCUCUUCUAGAUUAUUCCCAGUUUGAAAGGCCGUCGUUGGUUUUCCACGCACAGGUCCCACGGCAGUUCAGCUCGACGAUGAGUAUACACAGUGAUGUAGUGUUGCCUUUGUUAACGGCAUCGUGGCCCAGCUAUUUAAUCUCGUAUUAGGCGUGCCUUCACUCGUCGAAAUCGACCAUCAUUUGGAACCUUCUUCUCGUCAGACAGUCCGCAGUCAGUCAUCGACCGGGAAAUCAUGGCCCGCUUCACACAGCGAAUUAGUAAUAUGAGGUCAAAAAUUUAUAGUAAGAUAGAUCUUUUAUUUCCACUGUUUGAAGGUAAUGACCCAGACACAAUAAUAACUAUGGGAAUCCUUUGUUUCAAGCUAGACUGCCUGUCUCUUAUCGAGAGAACUGAGGACAAACUUUGGCAGUUGGGCCAACUACAAUGGCACUUGGUGAACGAUGCAGAUGCCCUACUUAGAGCUGUAGAGCAAACUCCGUUAGUGCUGAGGAUUUCAGAAAGGGUAAAAAAAUUAAAAAUUCUUCUUGAGGUAGAGCUCGUUGCAUUUGCAGACCCGGUGCAGGGUACGUCCCGAACCCUAUAAACAACGCGCCUAUAGAGUACGAUGUUAUAAAUAAACGAUGCCACGAGCCGGAUGUCGUAUGUGGGUGUGCAGUCAACUGGAAACAUUGAUCAGUGCUUACAGACAAUAUUCUAUAGGCUAAUUAGUUAUAGAAAGAUAUUUCAUGAUUUUAACGAUAGUUGACAAUGUUGUAGGUAAGAAAAAGUGUCCUAACGCAGUAUAUUAGACGAUAUCCAGCUGUCGUGUGUUUCUUCUGAUAGACAUUGCGAGAAGCUUUAUGAUUACGAAUCAACAGAAAGAAAUCACCAAACAAAAUAGUUGAAAGCGAACGAAGAUCAUUUCGGUUGUUGGCUGUUUGCUUAACGAAGAUCAAUUCUCUGGUGAGUAACGAUUCUAACAGAGACAUCAUCAGGCAUACAGUAAAAUGCCUCACCACUUCUUGCCCCUCGGGUCUAUCGGUAUAGCCUAAUUUUUAGGCUUCGACCACCUGCAAAUCUAAUACGCCAGAAGUUAAAAUUACGCUCGAUAUCCAUGCGAUUGCUCUUUUUACUAGACGACUGCUGUUUGGUUAACGUUAGCUGGCCAUCCCCUACAGACAUGUAGGGGUGGGAUUACUCGCCACUUUACCGUUUUAGAUAACAAAAAAAAAAAAAAAAUUGCCUUAUAUCCAUAAUUGUACUGGUUGUGUUACAAUUGACAAAUGCAGCGGUGAACGAUGGCACCAAACUGUGAUAUUGUUCAGAAUCUUCAUCUGUAUCAAACACCCGAGUGUAUUGUAAUUUAAAUAAACGUAGACUGACCAUCCGCAAAAUAUUUAGUACCCUUUUAUUUACCAAGUUGCCGAUGAAACAUAGAAUAUGAUGAAUGGAUUAUCUAGAUCCCGAGAGAGAGUGUGAAUAAAGCAUUCUCGUAUGACUAU